GAUGAACGCUGGCGGCGUGCUUAACACAUGCAAGUCGAACGAGAAGUGAAGACGGAACCCUUCGGGCGGAAGGCUUUAUUUCGAGUGGCGGACGGGUGAGUAACGCGUGGGUAACCUGCCUCAUACAGGGGGAUAACAGUUGGAAACGACUGUUAAUACCGCAUCAGACCACAGCACCGCAUGGUGCGGGGGUAAAAACUCCGGUGGUAUGAGAUGGACCCGCGUUCGAUUAGCCAGUUGGCGGGGUAACGGCCCACCAAAGCGACGAUCGAUAGCCGAUCUGAGAGGAUGACCGGCCACAUUGGGACUGAGACACGGCCCAAACUCCUACGGGAGGCAGCAGUGGGGAAUAUUGCACAAUGGGGGAAACCCUGAUGCAGCGACGCCGCGUGAGUGAAGAAGUAUUUCGGUAUGUAAAGCUCUAUCAGCAGGGAAGAAAAUGACGGUACCUGAGUAAGAAGCCCCGGCUAACUACGUG
This 478-nucleotide ribosomal RNA is filed under the name uncultured bacterium. Its description in RNAcentral is "partial 16S ribosomal RNA". It matches the Rfam family "Bacterial small subunit ribosomal RNA", at positions 28 to 507 of the family's 1533-position model. The record is from RNAcentral.